This 516-nucleotide unclassified non-coding RNA is filed under the name plant metagenome. Its description in RNAcentral is "partial contains small subunit ribosomal RNA, internal transcribed spacer 1, and 5.8S ribosomal RNA". The record is from RNAcentral.
UUUCCGUAUGUGAACCUGCGGAAGGAUCAUUAACACGUAUUAAAUUCUAUCAAACUAACCUGAGAACUUGUAUCUGCCAAAGACGCUUGAACCUCGCCAGAGGAUCGCUGAUCUGAGGCCCAAUCAAACUUAAACUAUUGAAGUCUGCUAGGGGUCAAAGAACUCCUACUUGCUUUUGUCCUUCCGGGCAAAGGUACUUGUGGAUGGUGUUCUCCUUAGUUAGUCUUCUUUAGGCUUAUCCACACGCCGGAGUACUCAUUCCUCGGAAUGGCGAAACAUAGUGCCACUCUUUCAUUUCCCGUUCCUUGUAAGCUACUUUUACCAGGAGCUGGCCUCUUUUACUUCGACAGAGAUUUCAAAUGGCGAUCAGCUUUGUUUAGCCCGCCUGCUUGGUCGAUAGAAUGAUGCUAGCUUUUGAAGUAGCCCAGGUUGAACUUAACCCUAGUAUAGAUCACCUAUAUUAGAGUAACAUAUAAAAUAAGAGAACAACUCUUAGCAAUGGAUAUCUUGGUUCUC